RNAcentral lists this long non-coding RNA (1205 nucleotides) under Oryctolagus cuniculus (rabbit). Its description in RNAcentral is "lncRNA (ENSOCUG00000035592.1)". The record is from RNAcentral. Lineage: Eukaryota; Metazoa; Chordata; Mammalia; Lagomorpha; Leporidae.
UAUUUGAUAUAUUUUUUCUUAAUAUUAAAAGUCUUCUUGGAAGAUGUCAGAAUGUUUCAAAAAUGAGAAAAAAAUUGAAAAUGAACAAAAGAAAGAAAAAAUUUUACCAAUAGUAAACCAGAUAAAUAUUUUGUUUGUUGGCACUAAGUUGCAUAAAUAUAUUCUUGCUUCCUAAAUGGCUUAAAAAUCUGUCUAAGGAAAAACAGGGAAGACCAACAAAAAGUUACACUCUGCCCCUCUUCCUGUUUUAUCUAUCUUCCUCUCUGCUUCCCUCAUCCAAAGCUGCAUCAUUCUUAUAUUUUAUUUGUGUACUUUUUCUUAUCACUCAGGGUCAGGGACAUUUUCCUCACCCUUCUGAUGAAUAUGGAAACAUUGAGAGUCUGAAGGAGGUAGAGAGAUUGCAUCUGUGGAAGUCAUUUGGAUCAACUGAUGAUACUCUCAACUUGACAAUACUGAAUGGAAGGAAAAACAUCAAGUAUGUUUCUCUUUUGAAGAUUCACCUACUACAUCAACACAAAUAUGGUCAGAGGGGAUGGAAGUGACCCACCAAAGCAUGGGGGCUUUAGCAUGGCAACUAGAGUGGGUUCAAUUCCCAUGACUUCAAAAUAUGAUAAACAGAGCCAAUCCUCUCUUUAGGCAGACCUAUCAAACCAUAUGUUAGCCAGAACUCUUCUGUAGACAGGGAUGUGUGAAUUUCACGUAUGCUAAGUGUACUGUUUAGGGAACUAUAAUAACGGGAUCGGUUUGGUAAUUGGAAUAAUUUAUUUCACUGUUAAACAUAUGCUGGGCCUAGCCCAAGAGAUCAUGUCACUGGAUUAUUGUGGAGAAUGGAAUGCAAUGAAACUAUUUAGCAAACAUUUUUAAGCUAAUGCUUAAUUAAAAGCACUUGUGAUGAGCCUUAUUACUGGUAUUUGUCCUUGGAUUGACUUGCUCUUGCAGUUCUAACCAAGUAGCCCAAAUAAGUGGUGUAAAUAUAUAUUUGUGCCGAACACAAAGAAAGAUAUAGAGAAAGGGCCGUAAGCAUUGAUACAUGGGCUAAAUGUCGUUCACUUAUUGAUUUUAUAAAUUAAGUUUUAUUAAGCUGCACUCAUUUGCUUAUGUUUAAAUGUACUUUCACACUAAACAGCACAGUUGAAUAUUUCCAAUAGAGAUAUUCUGGUAUGAAAAGUCUGAAAUAUUUAGUAUCAGGCCCUUUUUAGAAAGUC